Molecule: non-coding RNA, 555 nt
Organism: Pelobates cultripes (western spadefoot toad)
Lineage: Eukaryota; Metazoa; Chordata; Amphibia; Anura; Pelobatidae
Source: the annotation of a GenBank genome assembly
UGUGCCAUCUUCUUUUUUCACAGUGACUUUGCCACCUUCUCUGCUCUGAAUUUCUCCCUUCACAUACAUCUGCUUUGGGUCUAUCACGAAGUAUGAUGUUUUGGCAUCAAACGGUCUGUUCUGUGCCUCAAUCCUCUCCUUGUCAGUUUUUCGGAGGAAUUGGGCUGCCUCCCCAAAUACAGCCAUCUCACCGUCACCCAUGGUUGAUGGUUUACUACACAUAUAUCAUGUUUAUUAAAAAAAAAGGUAAGAAAAAUGCAAUUUAAUUAAAAUUACUUGCAUGAAAUAUAAUUAUACACUUUUUGCUUUAAAGUAUAUGCAUGUAUUUGUGGUUGCAGAGUUGUUAUGAAGAUAUUCAAAAUUACCAAUUCACUUAGAGUGUGAAAAUAAACGUUCACAGAAAUUGCAAGAAUGAGCUGAUUAAUUAAUAAAUGUGCUUGUUUUUCAAUAAAAAUAAUUGCUUGUUUGUAUAUUAUAUUUCAGUGAAAUAAAUAAGAAGACAUACCUUUAGUAUCCUUCCCAGGUGGAAAAAGAUUGAAAAGGGAAUAUUCUGUA